This 237-nucleotide ribosomal RNA is filed under the name uncultured Staphylococcus sp. RNAcentral describes it as "partial 16S ribosomal RNA". It matches the Rfam family "Bacterial small subunit ribosomal RNA", at positions 103 to 334 of the family's 1533-position model. Lineage: Bacteria; Bacillati; Bacillota; Bacilli; Caryophanales; Staphylococcaceae. The record is from RNAcentral.
CGGGUGAGUAACACGUGGAUAACCUACCUAUAAGACUGGGAUAACUUCGGGAAACCGGAGCUAAUACCGGAUAAUAUUUUUAACCGCAUGGUUCAAAAGUGAAAGACGGUCUUGCUGUCACUUAUAGAUGGAUCCGCGCUGCAUUAGCUAGUUGGUAAGGUAACGGCUUACCAAGGCAACGAUGCAUAGCCGACCUGAGAGGGUGAUCGGCCACACUGGAACUGAGACACGGUCCAG